UCUGCUGUGAAAAACCACAUUGUAGCAGGAGUACGGUCAUGGAGACAGAGCUUUACAAAUCCUCUUUCUGAACUACCAGCCAUGUAUGUUUUCAUAUUACCAAAUGCACAGGUUUCCAGGAGCUUGCCUUUCUGCUCUCCCCUCCUGACAGGGGCCUAAGAGGCUGCCACUGGGGAUCACAUUUUGAUCACUGAAAAUUUGUGGCUUUGACUGAGCAGAAAUGAAAGUGUAUGGAAGCUAAUGGUACAGGCAAUGAGCCAUGCUAAAACAACUAAAAUGCCAUCCCACUGUUUUUAGGGUACAUGUAAGAAACAAUUUGGGUGCCAAGAAUUCUCUCUUCCUCAGAACACUGCUGAACAGACAAUAUUUGUGAAAGUGACGCCUGUACAGACUGCAUUCAUUUCCUCGGACUCCAUCUCCAGAAGCUUCACUCUGACCUCUACUUGCAUCAGACUGGGGCUGGGCUUUUUGUCAAGUAGUUAGAUUUGCUUUAAUAAAUAUUAGUCUUUGUACUGCCGCUAGGUUGAUGCUCUCCAUGAAAAAGGCUUUGUGAGAUUAUAAUAACCCCAAGAAUAGACAGAAAUAGAUUUCACAACAUAAAUUCUAACAUGUCCCCCCCUCAAAAUUAACACAGUGCCUGGGAAAGGGUUAGGAAAAUGGAAAUUUUACACAUGCAAAUCAAAGCUUUCGGGAAAAGUACAAAAGAAACCUGUCCCUUUUGAAGCUGAUCACAAGAAAUCUUCUGUCUAGGUGCUUUGUGCCUUGUUUGGGCUUGCAGUUUGUGCGUAUGUGAUAUGAGUCAGGAAAACUGCUCCUCUAUCCCAAAAGUUGCCAUGGUAAGUAUGAUAUGGGCCUUGCUCACUUUAGCAGCAUCGACUGCAUGUCAGGAAUCAGAAGAUUGAUCUUGUUUUGCUCUGGGUGAAGAGAAAAAAUACAGGUGAGCUUGGGAAAAAAGGGAGGAAAGAAAUGACUGACAGACAGUCGUUUCAGUCUGAGAUGGCCAGCAGAGAGAAACUUGAUUUCCAUCUACACAAACCAUUGCCCAAGCAUCAAAAGAACACAUGUGGAUAGGUCAGAGGGGGAGGAACAAAAUAAAUUCAAGUCAGCUCUUCAUUUUUGCAUAAAGUGAUUAUGACAAAGUACCUACUCACUAGGAAAGCUUGUUUUUCAUCACCAGUGGUUUCUGUGUCCUCUGAGUUGUAAGUAAACUCCCUGCUUGCUAUGGGGUAGUUUUUCCUUGAAAACGCAAUGAUUUCUCAAUAAAAUUCAGUGUCCUGUUGUGAGCA
Molecule: long non-coding RNA, 1286 nt
Organism: Catharus ustulatus (Swainson's thrush)
Lineage: Eukaryota; Metazoa; Chordata; Aves; Passeriformes; Turdidae
Exons: 2
Source: RefSeq, a predicted model, not a curated record